GGCCUGCUAGCUCAGUCGGUUAGAGCGUCGUGCUAAUAACGCGAAGGUCGUAGGUUCGAUCCCUGCGCAGGCUA
RNAcentral lists this transfer RNA (74 nucleotides) under Rhipicephalus sanguineus (brown dog tick). RNAcentral describes it as "transfer RNA isoleucine (anticodon AAU)". It matches the Rfam family "tRNA". From Rfam's summary of the family: Transfer RNA (tRNA) molecules are approximately 80 nucleotides in length. Their secondary structure includes four short double-helical elements and three loops (D, anti-codon, and T loops). Lineage: Eukaryota; Metazoa; Arthropoda; Arachnida; Ixodida; Ixodidae. The record is from Rfam by way of RNAcentral.